GGGAGUCUUUAAAACGCAGGAAAUAGGACCCUAAGGGAAAACUAGCUUCUACCUAACCUCCGGCAAGGGGACUUGGCUGGCCAUAAUGCCCAAUGGACAGUAUAGUGGGUAAGCUAACUAGGGAGAUCCAACGGUUUGAAGGUGCCCGCCAAAGGGACUGAACAGGCCAAAUUCUACGGAAGCACAUGGGGAUAUGCACAAUGGGGCAACCUUAUGAGGCAUGCCGCGUGUAGAAAAAGCCUUACGGUUUGUAAGCUACUUUCACCAGGAAGAAAGUCGAUGUGGUUAAUCCCCACGUCGAUGGACGUUACCCGCAGAAUAAGCACCGGCUAACUCCGUGCCAGCAGCCGCGGUAAUACGGAGGGUGCAAGCGUUAAUCGGAAUUACUGGGCGUAAAGCGCACGCAGGCGGUCUGUCAAGUCGGAUGUGAAAUCCCCGGGCUCAACCUGGGAACUGCAUCCGAAACUGGCAGGCUAGAGUCUGGUAGAGGAUGGUAGAAUUCCAGGUGUAGCGGUGAAAUGCGUAGAGAUCUGGAGGAAUACCGAUGGCGAAGGCGGCCCUCUGGCCGAAGACUGACGCUGAGGUGCGAAAGCAUGGGGAGCAAACAGGAUUAGAUACCCUGGUAGUCCACGCCGUAAACGAUGUCGACUAGCAGUUUGGGCCCUUGAGGCUUGGCUUCCGGAGCUAACGCGAUAAGUAGACCGCCUGGGGAGUACGGCCGCAAGGUUAAAACUCAAAUGAAUUGACGGGGGCCCGCACAAGCGGUGGAGCAUGUGGUUUAAUUCGAUGCAACGCGAAGAACCUUACCUGGUCUUGACAUCCUCAGAACUUUCCAGAGAUGGAUUGGUGCCUUCGGGAACUGAGAGACAGGUGCUGCAUGGCAGUCGUCAGCUCGUGUCGUGAAAUGUUGGGUUAAGUCCCGCAAUGAGCGCAACCCUUAUCCUUAGUGGCCAGCGUCCGUGUAGGUACUCGUAGGAGGCUGCACGG
RNAcentral lists this ribosomal RNA (987 nucleotides) under bacterium TVG4. RNAcentral describes it as "bacterial SSU rRNA". It matches the Rfam family "Bacterial small subunit ribosomal RNA", at positions 202 to 1156 of the family's 1533-position model. The record is from RNAcentral.